Molecule: long non-coding RNA, 3758 nt
Organism: Athene cunicularia (burrowing owl)
Lineage: Eukaryota; Metazoa; Chordata; Aves; Strigiformes; Strigidae
Exons: 2
Source: RefSeq, a predicted model, not a curated record
GCUACAAGAAACAGUGAACAAAACAAGGAUGUUGAAGGUCAGCAUAUGUAGGUCAUAGGAAAAGAAGCUGUCCAUGUAAGGAAACAAUAACUACUUAGGAAAAAUACAGUUCAGGGCAGAUUCUAUUACCUCCUAUUAGAAAAAGAUGUAGAACUUUCCAGAAAGCAUAAAACACCAAGUGCAAACACAACCAACAGAGGACAGAUCAGACUGGAAGAACUACAGAUCCCUACUCAAAGCAGGUUCAAACAUUAGGUCAGACCAAGCUGCUAAGAGCUUCACCCAAUCCGGGCCUGAAACCUCCCAGUGCAGGAGACAGCCCAGCCUCCCAGGGCCCCAGACCCAAACUGCUGGACUGUCCUCAUGGGGAAAAGGCUUCUCUUUAUCUCCAGCCUGAGCUGCUCGUUUCAGCUUGCGCUGCUGCCUCUCACCCUCCAGCCAUGCAUGCACUGAAGAGUGCAGCUCUCCUCCAUCCCCUCCUGUUGAUGCCAGGGGAUGAUGCCGAGUACCCCCAAAACCAUCCCUUCUCCCAAGUGAACCAGCCCCAGCCCCACAGCCUCUCCUCCCAGGCCAAGGGAUCCAGCCCACAACUAUGUUGGUCACCCUCCAUUAAACUUGCUCCAGUUGUUGAUACCGGUCUUGUAACAGAGGUCCUAAAAAUGGAGACAAUGAAGCACAUCUAAUACACAUCAAGGACUUUCACUAUUGUACUUCCAUGCUUUGUUUAGUGGAUGACUACAGAGCCUUACCACUUCUGCUCUGUUUCAGAUACUACUUUUGGAGAACAAAAGAGCUUUCCCAGGUAACUUUUCUUCCUCAGAAACAGAAAACAAGAAUCUUCUGCACUCUUCAGAUUAACCUAGGCAGUGAUUGUCCUUCCCACCUUCCUUCAGGACUCUGAAUCCUGUGAAGGAUGGCAAUGCUAUAGGCAGUAAAGCAUAAGAUGCCCAACUGACAAAACCGCUAUUUUCAUCUACUUUAUUCCUAAGAUUUAUUUCUAUGACUAUGACUAGCAAAUUCUGUUACACUUUUAGCUAUGACAGUACUAAUUCUUCAAGAGGCCUUCUUUAAAACUGAACUCAGCACAGGUGAGGGUGAUACUUUUUCAGCUUUUCUGAGAGUCAUGUACCACUGAUAACAGCAAGAAAGUCAAGAAUACUGACAAAGGAUGUGCUGAACAUAUUCAUACUUACACUGAGAGAUUCACAUGGUUCACCACCAGGAACAAAGAGUAUACAAGGCAAAAAAUCACUCUGAACUGCAUUUUAUAUAUUGCUAAAAAUGAACUUCAUCCAUCAACAGCUAUACAUGUAAAACUGCUUUCAAAUUCUUGGUAUCCACAGAUAUUUCAAGACACCAUAUUUUUAAUAUAGAACAAUUGUAUGUCUGAGAAUUCAGCCAAAACACCAACAUAGGCUUUUUAAAAAUUGUUAUUCUGAAAGUAUUCUAGGAUCUGGUAAGCAGGCACCUAUGUAUUUUGUUGAUAUAAAAUAUAACUUUUACAGGUUAUAGAAAUUACAUGGAAAUCAGUAAGUCUUUUGGUGAAGAUUGUUUUUAUCCAUUUUCUACCCUGAUGUAACAAAUCAUUGACAAAUUAAAAAAUACUGAGAGGUCAGAUGUAGAAACACAAACAGACUAACAUCCAUGACAUUCAAUUACUUACAGUAUUUUUAUUUACACUAAGCUAAUUAUAAUGUCUGCAGAAAGCCUCUCAUUACCUUACCUCUUCAUGCUUGUAUGAGGUCAGAACUAGGCCCUAGAUUUUUUAAUAAAAAUCCAAUUAAAAGCAAGUAGGGCAAUGAAAGGACAGGGUUGAAAGUAUAACAGGUAACUAAGCCAUCAAGCACAUGCUAUGAACUGCUUGUAAUUGGUGAAUAAAUUUAAAGGACUAGAAAGCUAAAAAUCGUCAAAUGGACUGACUGAGUAACUCUGAGUUUCAUAUCUGCACACAAGUGACAGAUGGCUUCCAAAAGCCAGCAACAAAACAAAAAUCUAUUACAGCUUUAGGGAGAACUGGCAGCAUCUGAAAAUCACCUCCGUCUGAGGGAUCUGAGCUUCUUUAUAACAAAAGAACUAUCUGAUUUAUUUUUUUUUAAUAAGAAGGAUUUUUAAAACUCAACAAUUGUUUUAUCAAAAAAAAUAUUGCAGUUAUUGUCUAUACCAGACUAAAUUUAUCAUUGCUCUAUGAUUUAUGUAACCUCUUCCUUUCAAUGCAUGCAGUUAAAACAAAGAUGAGAUUCAUUACUAUGUGUCAGCAAAGUAAACGGGUGUCACAUGAAAUGCAACAAAAGCAGCUGGUUAUGUUAGUGUGUUCUCAGUUACCUACACAAAAGGGUGUCAUGCCUAAAGAGUCAUCAAGAGAAGGUCAAACUACAGAGAAUUCAGAUUUAAUGAAAAUUUUAAAAAUUCCUAAAAACAAAAUUCCAGCAAGCAAACACACACACACCUCCACCAUAUUUUUAUCUGUCUUUCCUGUUAUGUGGGUUUCAGUAUUAGUGAAAAAUGUUCAUCUGCCAAUCUGGAAGAUAAGCUUCCCUGAACACUUGAUGAAGUCCCACAAUGUAGUGCCAUGAGUAACAGCAGAGAAAGGGAAAGACUGACAUUCCUCACAGACUAUUCCAUAAAAUACACCUGUGCUGGUUUUUGCUAGUAGUAGUUUCCUGUUUUUUCUGUAAAUCUUCAAAACCUAUUAAGAGACUGUUGUCAUGGCUAGAGCUGACGAGUUGUUACACAUGGAAAAAAUUCUACUAAUUUACUUCGCAACUUUAUUUGUACAAUCAAAAUAGCUUAGUACACAAACCAGCAACACCGCAUGUCAAAUGAAACUCCUCAGCCUUGAGUUAGGGGAAAGAAGUCAAAGCAUUAGUACACUGUCAGUGAACAAGACUUUGUAAUAAAUCUCUACUGAACAUCUGUGUGCAGGAUCAGGUAACUUAGAGGUAUCACAUGCGUUUACUGAAUUCUAAAGGCCUGUUAUGAGAGGCAAAGAAAAAGUUUUAUCAUUUUAGCAGCUGAACAAUCUUAAAAGCCAGAUCCAUAUGACUAUUAUGAUGUUGUGUAAACUGGUUUUGUAUCUGGAUUGCAACUACUCUUCUACUACCAAUUCUUCUCAUUAGUGAUCUGAAUGAUAAUGACUAAACAAAGUUAGAAUUAAACUUGUAUUAACUAAUUGAAGUCCUAUUAGUGAAAACAGCUUUUCAUUCACCUUGCAAAAGAGCAUGAAUGUCAAAACAGUCUCACUCUAAAGUCAUAGAAAGCAGAGAUGGAAAGCAAAGAGCAAGUAACUUUAAGAGAGGGAGAAGUGGGGUGGAAAAAAGGUUUUAAUUUUUCAAACAUAUUGUCUAUAUGAAUUGUUUGUUGAUUUUGGCUCAGCAGCAAUGCAAUGCUGACCCAGCGGUUACAGAACACAGACCACACACUUUGGGCUAAAGACAAAACUUUGGGUUCCUGUGACCUGACAGGGACAGAUCGUUACAAAGUGAAAACAGUGAUGAUUAGCACGGCUGUUCACAUUUGAGAAAACAAAAUGUUAAUCUUAGUCUGACUCCUGUGGGGUCUUUAUCUCACUAGUUGCAUGGUUCAUUGCUUAGCAGUUGUGAGUCCAGUUAGCUCAUCAUAAGCCUCUGCAUGGUCUAUUUUUUUGCAUUGUCUUUUCAAAACACUUUUCUGCUUCAGUAUGAGACACACUUAGGCUCCAUAAUUAAGGUAUCAACACAAAGCAGUAAGUUACAAAAAAACCCAAAAUCUGGAUUCUUCUA